UGAGCAAUCUGCCCUUCUCAUCGGAAUAAGCGUUGGAAACGACGUCUAAUGCCGAAUACGACCUCCUUUCGCAUGAUCGGAGGUGGAAAGCUCCGGCGGAGAAGGAUGAGCUCGCGGCCUAUCAGCUAGUUGGUGUGGGUAAUGGCCCACCAAGGCGACGGACGGGUAGCCGGCCUGAGAGGGUGACCGGCCACACUGGAACUGAGAUACGGUCCAGACUCCGUACGGGAGCAG
This 234-nucleotide ribosomal RNA is filed under the name uncultured bacterium. Its description in RNAcentral is "partial 16S ribosomal RNA". It matches the Rfam family "Bacterial small subunit ribosomal RNA", at positions 118 to 347 of the family's 1533-position model. The record is from RNAcentral.